GAUGAACGCUGGCGGCGUGCCUAAUACAUGCAAGUCGAGCGGACGGACGAGACGCUUGUGUCUCUGACGUUAGCGGCGGACGGGUGUGUCACACGUGGAUAAUCUACUUAUAAGUCUGGGAUAAUCUCGGGAAACCGGAGCUUAUACCGUAUAAUAUUCUGAACCGUAUGGGUCAAUAGAGAAUGACGGUCUUGCGGUCACUUAUAGAUGGUUCCGCGCUGUAUUAGCUAGUUGGUAAGGUAACGGCUUAUCAAGGCAACGAUGCGUAGCCGACCUGAUGGGGUGGUAGGCCACACUGGAACUGAACCGCGGUCCUGACUCCUACGAGAGGGAGCAGUAGGGAAUGUUCCGCAAUGGGCGGAAGCCUGGCGGAACGACGGCGCGUGAGUGAUAGAGGUCUUCGGUUCGUGAAACUCUGUUAUUGGGGAAGAACAUAUGUGGAAGUAACUGUACACAUCGUGACGGUACCUAGUCAAGAAGCCACGGCUAACUACGUG
RNAcentral lists this ribosomal RNA (497 nucleotides) under uncultured bacterium. RNAcentral describes it as "partial 16S ribosomal RNA". It matches the Rfam family "Bacterial small subunit ribosomal RNA", at positions 28 to 507 of the family's 1533-position model. The record is from RNAcentral.